GACGAACGCUGGCGGCGUGCCUAAUACAUGCAAGUCGAACGCAUUUUCUUUCACCGUAGCUUGCUACACCGAAAGAAAAUGAGUGGCGAACGGGUGAGUAACACGUGGGUAACCUGCCCAUCAGCGGGGGAUAACACUUGGAAACAGGUGCUAAUACCGCAUAAUUCCAUUUACCGCAUGGUAAAUGGAUGAAAGGCGCUUUUGCGUCACUGAUGGAUGGACCCGCGGUGCAUUAGCUAGUUGGUGGGGUAACGGCCUACCAAGGCUGCGAUGCAUAGCCGACCUGAGAGGGUGAUCGGCCACACUGGGACUGAGACACGGCCCAGACUCCUACGGGAGGCAGCAGUAGGGAAUCUUCGGCAAUGGACGCAAGUCUGACCGAGCAACGCCGCGUGAGUGAAGAAGGGUUUCGGAUUGUAAAACUCUGUUGUUAGAGAAGAACAAGGAUGAGAGUGGAAAGUUCAUCCCUUGACGGUAUCUAACCAGAAAGCCACGGCUAACUACGUG
This 507-nucleotide ribosomal RNA is filed under the name uncultured bacterium. RNAcentral describes it as "partial 16S ribosomal RNA". It matches the Rfam family "Bacterial small subunit ribosomal RNA", at positions 28 to 507 of the family's 1533-position model. The record is from RNAcentral.